CCUACGGGACACAGCAGUGAGGAAUAUUGGUCAAUGGACGCGAGUCUGAACCAGCCAAGUAGCGUGAAGGAUGAAUGCCCUAUGGGUUGUAAACUUCUUUUAUAUGGGAAUAAAACGUUCCACGUGUGGGCGUAUGUAUGUACCAUAUGAAUAAGGAUCGGCUAACUCCGUGUCAGCAGCCGCGGUAAUACGGAGGAUCCGAGCGUUAUCCGGAUUUAUUGGGUUUAAAGGGUACGUAGGUGGAUUGUAAAGUAAGUUGUGAAAGUUUGCGGGUCAACCGUAAAAUUUCAGUUGAAACUGGCAGUCUUGAGUACAGUAGAGGUGGGCGGAAGUCGUGGUGUAGCGGUGAAAUGCUUAGAUAUCACGAAGAACGCCGAUUGCGAAGGCAGUUCACUGGACUGCAACUGACACUGAGGCUCGAAAGUGUGGGUAUCAAACAGGAUUAGAUACCCCAGUAGUC
RNAcentral lists this ribosomal RNA (460 nucleotides) under uncultured bacterium. RNAcentral describes it as "partial 16S ribosomal RNA". It matches the Rfam family "Bacterial small subunit ribosomal RNA", at positions 338 to 795 of the family's 1533-position model. The record is from RNAcentral.